UCUCACCAUCCCCAGCACGGACGAUCUCCACGUGCCCAACUUAUACUCAGUCUCAUCUCGAUGCAUGUGCACAAUAUUGUUUCAAUAGAGGGAAUGAUGAUGCAUCUCAAUCAAUCAAUAUGAAUAUAAUACAUAACCACCUCAAUUAUCUCAACUAUACGGGUGAAAUAAAUAAAACACAAUCACACAAGGAAUUCAAGUCAAUAAUAUAUUAGCUAAUGCCCAUAUGCUUUGGCAUUCUCAAAUUUCAAUCCACAUUCUAUAAUAGUAUUUUCCUUUUUAUAACACCGGUACUCGUACCAAUGCCCGUCACACCAUUGAUACGAGACCACCAUCUUUCGCCCUUACCCCUUUGUCUAUUUUCAUUUUUAAUUUUUAAUUAGGAAAACGUCCUUCAACAAGUCUAAAAAAAAAGUCUUAACAUACCUUAAAUGCCGAACUCGUGUCACCAAUCUUCAAGAUUUUUCCUUUCCCUUUCGCAAAGCUUCGGAACGUUCCCAAUCUAUCCAUUGUGCAAUAUUCGUAAGUAAGCGAGUUCAUAGGUUAUAUGUCUAACCUAAACUCCAAACUCACUCAUGUAUCCAAUCAAGCUCCUACUCUUGAUAUAUUUUAUAUGUCAAGAUUGUACUUACUAAAUUUCAAGCCUACUGUCAAGCCUCAACUCCUCAAAAUAUUAUGAUUCUAAUAAUACUCAUGUAACACAAUACCACCAAAAUUUUGUUAGCUAUAUCCAUAUACUUUAUGGAGUAUUACUAUAUGAAAAUUAAAAAUGAAAUAAAAGUUUAAAGCCAAUAAGUAGUUUGAUGUAACUUACUUAAAUAAAUAAUGUCUAUGGAAUUUUUCCGCAGGUUUCAUAUAUGAAAUCAAGCUUUUGUUUGCCAAAGAUUCCCCCCCCUUUUUUCCCCCAAUGGUUAUGCCUAAUUCUUAUUAAAUAAUUACACAUGAUAAUAAUUAAUAUAAACAUUCUCCUCUACUCUAAUCCAACACCCUCAAUACUUACGGUAACUCACUUAAUUUACCUGCUAGUCAUUAGGAAUAAAUUAAAUUAACAAGUUGUACAACCCAAAAAAAUUUCCAGCAAUACCUACUAUUAAUAAUAUCCUUCAUCGUCAAUAUGAAGAUUUAUAUAAUCCAAUGCAAUAAAAAAAAACUUAAUUCUCUAAAGAUAACAUACUAAUACUAGUGACUAAAUUCUGUAAAUAAAUAAAUUAAUACCCAUUUUCACUAGUUAACAAACAAGAAAAUGCACUUUAAAUGUGAGAUCCUUCAUUCUUUUCUUUAAUUUUAAUCAGUUCAAUUGCUUAAUUCCCAAAGAAUUGGUCAUGUCAUCUGCCACUUUCAUAAUGAGCCUCAUUAAUGGGCAUUCAAUGCUCCCCCCUUAGGUUGAUAAAGUUAUCACAUAAAUAAAAAAAAUGGUUCUUUUCCGUUCCUUCACAAGGGAUCUGAACAGAUCCAAAAAUAAUCUAUUUUCUCAUAUACACACCAACAAAUAAUUUAAAAUAACAAUUUAAUUCACUUGACAAUAUACUCAAAUGAAGAAUUGAAAAGUUUGAGAAUAAAUCGUUCACCUGAAGUCGACGGUUUCUUUUCCCCUACACGUUUUGCCAGAAUAUAUUAAUGGGGUUAUGCUAAUCAUUCAUUUAUAUUAAUUUACUAAAUGGGCUAUGUGAAAAAAAAGGUUUUAACUAAAUUAGGUGUUGAUCUGGCCCAUUAAGUAUGCAACUAUAUUAAAUAUUUAACACAUAUCUGACAACUAAAUAAUCGUGGUUACCGAAUAUUUCAAUUUUUUUAAUUUUAAAUUCUACGGAAAGAGUCAAGAUAGUUUGAGUUCUCCAAACGACCUAGCGGGCUGUUACAUCACCUACCACUUAAACAAACGUUCCUCCUCGAACGGAAAAAGAAAAGAACUAACCUGGAUGCUCAAAAAGAUGAGGAUAAUUACUCCUUAUGUCUGACUCUGUCUCCCAUGUAGCCUCCUCCACUGGACGGUGCUUCCACUGAACCUUUACUGAAGCAAUCUCCUUGGACCUUAGCUUCCGAAUUUGCCUAUCCAGAAUGGAGAUCGGCUCUUCCUCAACAGUCAAAUUCUGAUCAAGUAACACUGAAUCCCAUUGAAUCACAUGAUCCCCACCCUGAUGAUACUUCUUAAGCAUGGAGAUAUGAAAUACAGGAUGAACACCUGACAAACCAGGUGGCAAAGCCAACUGAUACGCCACCUCACCAAUACGCUCAAUAAUCUCGAAAGGACCAAUAUACCUUGGGCUCAACUUGCCCUUCUUUCCAAACCUCAUCACACCCUUCAUGGGUGAAACCUUCAAUAAAACCCUCUCUCCAACCAUAAACUCUAAAUCACGAAUCUUUCGAUCUGCAUAACUCUUUUGCCUACUCUGAGCCAUGAGAAGUCUAUCUUGGAUCAACUUGACCUUGUCCAAGGACUCCCUCAACAAAUCUGUACCCCAUGGUCUAACCUCAAAUGCAUCAAACCAGCCAAUUGGAGAUCGACAUCUCCUGCCAUACAGAGCCUCAAAUGGUGCCAUCUCAAUGCUCGAGUGAUAACUAUUAUUGUAAGCAAACUCUGCUAGAGGCAAGAACUGGUCCCACUGACCACCAAAGUCAAUCACACAUGCCCGCAACAUAUCCUCAAGAACCUGAAUAGUUCGCUCAGAUUGACCAUCAGUCUAAGGGUGAAAGGCUGUACUAAGAUCCACUCGAGUGCCUAACUCUUUCUGCAUAGACCGCCAGAAAUGAGAUGUAAAUUGGGUGCCACGAUCUGAAAUAAUAGAUAUAGGAACCCCAUGCAAACGAACUAUCUCUUGAAUAUAGAUCUUGGCUAACUUCUCUGAGUUAUAGGUAGUCUGAACUGGUACAAAGUGUGCAGACUUAGUCAGUCGAUCCACGAUGACCCAUAUAGCAUCAAACUUACCCAAGGUACGUGGCAACCCUACCACAAAGUCCAUAGCAAUGCGCUCCCACUUCCACUCAGGUAUGGGCAUCCUCUGAGUCAUACCUCCAGGCUUUUGGUGUUCAUACUUCACUUGCUGACAAUUCAAACAUCGAGAUACAAAAUCUACUAUGUCCCUCUUCAUACGACACCACCAAUAGUGUUGCUUCAAGUCACGAUACAUCUUAGUAGCCCCCGGAUAAAUAGAGUACCUCAAACUAUGAGCCUCCUCUAUGAUCAAUCUAGUCAAAUCACCUAUACGAGGAACACAUAUACGACCCUUAAUCCUCAAAACUCCCUCACUAUCAAGAAUUGCAGCCUUGGCUUCUCCUUUUAAAACCUUGUCCCUAAUCUUACAUAAAUCACCAUCAUCAAACUGUUGAGCCCGAAUCUGCUCCAACAAGGAUGACCUAGCCUCCAUAUAAGCCAACACCUUACCAGAUUCUGAAAUAUCAAGUCUCACAAAGCUAUUGGCCAGGGAUUGGACAUCCCUAGCUAAAGGACGCUCGCCAACCUGUAACAUGGCUAGACUACACAUACUUACCGCCUUCCGACUCAAGGCAUCUGCUACAACAUUUGCUUUGCCUGGGUGAUAAAGAAUAGUCAUAUCGUAGUCUUUGAGCAACUCCAAUCAUCUCCUCUGCCUCAAAUUGAGAUCCCUCUGAUUGAAUAUAUACUGGAGACUACGAUGAUCCGUGAACACCUCACAAUGCACACCAUAAAGAUAAUGCCUCCAAAUCUUUAAUGCAAACACAACAGACGCCAACUCUAAAUCAUGAAUAGGGUAGUUCUUCUCAUGAACCUUUAACUGCCUCGAAGCAUAAGCUAUCACCCUUCCCUUCUGCAUCAACACACAACCAAGACCAAUCCGAGAAGCAUCACAAUAUACAACAAAACCCUCUCCCUCCACGGGUAGGGUCAAAAUUGGAGCAGUAGUCAAUAAAGUUUUGAGCCUUUGGAAACUAACCUCACAUUCGUCAGACCACUGAAAAGUCACCUCCUUUUGUGUCAAUCUAGUUAAUGGAGAUGCAAUGGAUGAGAAACCCUCAACAAACCGUCGAUAAUAACCUGCAAGGCCCAAGAAACUCCGAAUCUCAGUAACUGAAGUAGGUCUAACCCAAUCUAUAACCGCCUCAAUCUUCUUAGGAUCCACCAUGAUACCCUCCUUGGACACUACAUGUCCCAAGAAUGCUACCGAACUAAGCCAAAACUCACACUUUGAAAACUUUGCAUAAAGCUUCUUCUCCUUUAGAAUCCCAAGAACAAUCCUCAAAUGAUGCUCAUGCUCCUCCUUAGUGCGUGAGUAUAUUAAUAUAUCAUCUAUGAAGACAAUAACAAAGGAAUCUAAAUACGGUCUGAACACUCCAUUCAUCAAGUCCAUAAAAGCUGCUGGGGCAUUAGUCAGUCCGAAAGACAUCACCAAAAACUCGUAAUGACCAUAACAUGUUCGAAAAGCCGUCUUAGGGAUAUCCUCUGCCCUAACCUUCAGCUGAUGAUAGCCAGAUCUCAAGUCAAUUUUGGAGAAAACUGAAGCACCCUGCAACUGAUCAAAUAAAUCAUCAAUACGAGGUAUCGGAUACUUAUUUCUGAUGGUUACCUUGUUCAACUGCCGAUAGUCAAUACACAUACACAUAGAUCCAUCUUUCUUCUUCACAAAUAACACUGGAGCACCCCAAGGAGAUACACUUGGUCUAAUAAAACCUUUGCUCAACAAAUCCUGCAGCUGCUCCUUCAACUCUUUCAAUUCAGCUGGUGCCAUACGAUAAGGAGGAAUGGAAAUAGGCCGAGUGCCUGGCUCCACAUCAAUACAAAAAUCAAUAUCUCGAUCUGGUGGAAGACCUGGCAAAUCGGUCGAAAAUACUUCUGAAAAUUCACUCACUACUGGAAUAGACUCAAGCAAAGGAGUCUCAAUACUAGUAUCUCGAAUGUGGGCCAAGUACACCAAACAUCCCCUCUGUACCAACUGACGAGCCUUAAGGAAUUAUAUCACACCCUUAGAAGGAUGACUAAGAGUACCUCUCCAUUCUACUAUAGGAAUUCCAGGCAUAGCUAAAGUGAUGGUCUUGGCAUGACAAUUUAAAAUUGCGUAGUAAGAAGAUAACCAAUCUAUACCAAGAAUCACAUCAAAAUCUAUCAUUUCUAAGACCUUGAGAUCUGCAUGAGUGUCAUACCCCAUCAAAGUAACAGUAGAUAAACGAUACACUUGAUUUACAACUACAGAAUCCCCGACAGGAGUAGAAACACGUAUUGGCAAAUCAAGAGACUCACACAAUAUAUCCAGACUAGGAGCAAAAUAUGUGGACACAUAAGAAUAAGUAGAGCCUGGAUCAAAUAAUACAGUAGCUGGUCGAUGACAAACCAGAAUAAUACCUGUGAUAACAGCAUUUGAGGCUUCAACCUCUGGCCUACCUGGAAAAGCAUAACAGUGAGAACGACCUCCAUCAGAUUGUGAACCUCCACGACCACCACCUCGACCAGAAGGAGAACCACCUCUACCAUUCUGUGCACCACCCCUAGCUGGAGGUUGUGCAACCCUGGAAGUCGAAGCCUGAGAACCCUGAUGUAAACCACCACGUCUGGUCCUAGGGCAGUCUCUCACAAAGUGUCCCAUAUCACCACACUCAAAGCAACCCCUACGAAACGCAGGCUGAUGAGAGGAACCCGAAUGACCAGAAUGCCCUCCAUGAACUACAGGUCUAGAAGAUGAACCCUGCGAAGUAUGUACAGAGCUCGAAGAGUUAUGCCCAGCGUAACUAGCCUCAGACGCUGGUAUAGCAGCAUGAAUGGGUCUGCUGGACUGAGGGUGAUAACCUCUGCCCAAGUAACCCCGACUCCUAGGCGGAGCACCACCAUAAUCACCUGAAUAACGAGUCGUCUUGCCCUCUCGCUGCUCAAAUCACUCACGUCGAAUCAUCUCCAACUCCUUAGAAGCAUCCACCACUUUCUGGAAUGGAACACCAGAAGCAGCAACCUGAGAAACUCCUAGACGGAUCGGAAUAAUCAGCCCCUUUACAAACCUUCUCACUCUCUCAGCCUCUGUGGGAAGUAUCAUCGAAGCAUGCCUAGCCAAGGCAUGAAAUUUACCCUCAUAUUCUGCAACUGACAUACCAUUUUGCUGCAAACCCUCAAACUCGGCCCUCUUGCGCUCCCUCUCACUGCGUGGAACAAAUUUGGAUAGAAAUACCUGAGUAAACUCAGUCCAGGAUAGUGGAUGAGAUCCGGCUGGCCUACUACUAAUAUAAUCCCUCCAUCACUGCUUAGCAGAGCCAGUCAUCUGAAACGUUGUGUAGUCAACUCCAUGAGACUCCACUAAUCCAAGAUUAUGCAACCUCUCAUGACAACUAACUAUAAACUCAUAUGCAUCCUCAGCUAAGUCACCAGUAUAAGUAGGAUGAUUCAUUAGUCUGAACCUCCCAAACAUCUUUUGCUCAUCAAUAGUCAUAGAAGGCCUGUUCACCAAAUGUGAUGUCAUAUCUGGAAACUCCAUACUAUCCAAACGAGGAGCUACAGCGGCAGCUGGCUGAGUCUUGGGAGUCUGAGAAUCUGGAGCAACUAUCGGAUCUGGAGUUUGACCUCCAACACGGGUCUGUGAGCCAUCAGAAGUGACAGGCAAAGCUCCUGCCUGGGCCAUCCCCUCUAGGAUUCCUAACAUACGAGCCAGGGUAUCUUGAAGCACUGGGGGAACAAUAGUACUGGUUGGAGCCUGAGCUGGCCCAUCCCCCUCGACACGAUCUUGCACAUCCCCAUGAAGAACAUCUGCAUCAGGAGGUACGGUCCUAUCAUGACCACGGGUAGCUAUUGGUACUUGACCACCCACAGGUGCUGCAAUACGGCCCCUACCCCGUCCUCGAGCUCGUCCCCUACCUCUACCUCGGAUAGUGUUCCCAGAAGCAGGCACAGGAAAAGGAUCCUGACCACCACUUGCCGAUGUACGAUUCCUCGCCAUCUGAGAGAGAAUGAGAUAUCAAGAUUAGAAUUUGUACAAGGUCAAGUGUGCACGAUAAUGAAUAAAAGAACAGAAUAUUUCCUAAAUGUCCUAUAGCCUCUCGAAGAUAGGUAUGGACGUCUUCAUACCGAUCCGCAAGACUCUACUAGACAUUGCCCUUGUACCCUUGAGACCGAUGAACCUAGGGCUCUGAUACCAAACUUGUCACGACCCAAAAUCACGAGUCGUGAUGGAACCUAUAUUCCCAACCAAUAGGUAAGCCAACCAACAUAUUUUUAACAAACUUAACUAACAAAGAAGUGAAAAGACAACAAUUUCCAAAUCUCCAACACUGAGUUCUUAUAAGUACGAAUGCGGAAAACUGAAAAAAAGUACUACCCAAGAAAUGGUGUCAUGAGUACAAGAGCUUCUAAAAUACGAUGCAAGUUUGAUACUAAAAGGCAAAUCUAACAUAAGGGAUAUCCUGUCUGAAUACUGAAUAACAGAAUAAGUAAAAGAUAGAGGGAGGUGUGGGCCACGGAACAGCCAAGCAGCUCACCACAACUCCAAGAACUUCAAGCCGGACUCGAUUUGCUCCACGAGAUGUGCUCCUACUCGGAAUCGAAUCUGCAUCACAAAGAGUGCAACAAGCGUAGUAUGAGUACGAAACCACGUGUACCCAGUAUGUCUCAUUGACCGACAACGAAGAAGUAGUGACGGGAGUUUAUAUAAGAAAAUAAGUUCUUAAAUUAUACAAGUAUAUAUAUAUAUAUAUUACACUCACUAUUUAAGUUUCAUCAAUAAAGGAAAUCAACAUUUAAUAUUUUCCAAACACCAAACAAAACAUAUAGUCAUCAAGAAUGAAUGAUGGGAUGAAAUGCAAUGCAAUAUGAUGUCAUGUAAUGAUAUGUCUCAGAAUACCCAAUACUCACUCAAUCGUAUAUACAUGAUACUCCUCGGAAAUACAUCGAGAGUUCAUGACCCAUAGGGGACUCGCGAGGUCCAUAUACCGACACGGACGAUCUCCACGUGUCUGUGCGGACGAUCUCAACGCACUAUCAUAAUAUCAAACAAUUUUCGCACGGACGGUCUCCACGUGCCCAAAUUACAAUCUUAACAUCUCACCAUCCCCAGCACGAACGAUCUCCACGUGCCCAACUUAUACUCAGUCUCAUCUCGAUGCAUGUGCACAAUAUUGUUUCAAUAGAGGGAAUGAUGAUGCAUCUCAAUCAAUCAAUAUGAAUAUAAUACAUAACCACCUCAAUUAUCUCAACUAUACGGGUGAAAUAAAUAAAACACAAUCACACAAGGAAUUCAAGUCAAGAAUAUAUCAGCUAAUGCCCAUAUGCUUUGGCAUUCUCAAAUUUCAACCCACAUUCUAAAAUAGUAUUUUUCUUUUUAUAACACCGGUACUCGUACCAAUGCCCAUCACACCAUUGAUACGAGACCACCAUCUUUCCCCCUUACCCCUUUGUCUAUUUUCAUUUUUAAUUUUUAAUUAGGAAAACGUCCUUCAACAAG
RNAcentral lists this long non-coding RNA (8387 nucleotides) under Solanum lycopersicum (tomato). RNAcentral's name for it is "long non-coding RNA (SLYC_LNC000611)". The record is from RNAcentral. Lineage: Eukaryota; Viridiplantae; Streptophyta; Magnoliopsida; Solanales; Solanaceae.